RNAcentral lists this microRNA (22 nucleotides) under Canis lupus familiaris (dog). RNAcentral describes it as "cfa-miR-8859b". The record is from miRBase by way of RNAcentral. Lineage: Eukaryota; Metazoa; Chordata; Mammalia; Carnivora; Canidae.
GGUCGGAUUCCGUGCCUGGAGU